GUUGCUCUGAGGGGCGUAACAAAGAUGGUGGAGCAGGCGGAGGGCAGAGGCGUCGGCAAGUUAGCGUGCAGGCGCGUGGCAGCGACAGGAGAUGUGUAGCCAGAGCGCAGAGCAGGUGUGGACUCCGGCGCUGGGGAAGCGUGGCCAGGGCGAGAUUUCAGCCUGGGUCGGGGACAGAAUGGGGACUGAUAGGGGCGUAACCUGGAAUGACGAAAUGACGUUUGCUGCGUAGGGACGUGGCUAAACGUGAGGGGGCGUGGCCAAGAUGGCCGCGUGCGGGAUCCUCGGGUACCGGGAGCGAACGAGGAGGUUCUGGCUCAGUGCAUCCACUCUGGGAGAGCGUGGACCUGGUUCCUGGGGGCGAUCGCCAGUCACCCAUCAACAUUCGGUGGAGGGACAGUGUUUAUGAUCCCGGCUUAAAACCACUGACCAUCUCUUAUGACCCAGCCACCUGCCUCCACGUCUGGAAUAAUGGGUACUCUUUCCUCGUGGAAUUUGAAGAUUCUACAGAUAAAUCAGCUGCACUUAGUGCAUUGGAACGCAGUCAAAUUUGAAAACUUUGAGGAUGCAGCACUGGAAGAAAAUGGUUUGGCUGUGAUAGGAGUAUUUUUAAAGGAAAAUUCUCAGUCUCCCUUGAAGAAGUGAAGCCUCCUUCUUUAUGCACUGGCCACUGUCUAAUACCUCCCAGCAAUACUCAGAGGAGACUACCUGCUGGAACCUCACUAGAAUUGAGAGAUCAAAUGGUUUUGGCUGUUUUCCCACUGGAGAAUAUAAAAAAUACACAGUUAAUUUUAGAAACAAAGGCUGGGCAUGAUUCCAUCCUAAGCAGCAAUUCUUCAGGUAGCUGCCCAGAAGGGCCUGGAGCUCCUCUGGACCACUGCUGAUCUCCAGAUACUCCCUGAGAACCGUCACCUCGGCGUCCAAUUCCUGAGUGGUUUUCACUACUAAAUAAUGACUCAGUGACCCAGUCUCUUGGCCAGGACGCUGUUAUGGAAUUUGGGUCGUUUGGCACUUCCUGCCUGGUGCCCACCUGUCUAGAUUACUGGACCCAAGUAGGUCCAGUAUCUCCCUGGUCCAGCCCUGUCUUGAGUCCAUCACCUUUAUCAUUAAGAAGCAGCCAGUAGAGGUUGAUGAUGAUCAGGUACGUUCUCUCCACAAUUUUCAUCUAAGGAAAUCCUCGUCUCCCCUUUUAAAACAAGGCUGGGCUCAGACUGUGGCAUCAGUUUUAACAUCUUGUAAUGCUUAUACAUUUUUAUUGAAGUGUACCAACGUCUUAUCUCAGUUUGGACAUGAAUUUAGAGAUAUUUCAAAUUAGCUAGAGAGAAGAGUUAAAACAUAGAAGAACAUAAGCUUUUUACAUCUAUAUUUGACAGUGACAUAUGUUUUUAUUAUACAUGCAUUGUGUAGAUUCUCUAUGAAAAUUAAGACCCUUUUAAAUAAAAAAACGAAGGCUGGAAA
Homo sapiens (human) is the source of this 1458-nucleotide RNA transcript. It is a transcript of the gene named carbonic anhydrase 5B pseudogene 1, with no coding region annotated. The transcript has 4 exons. NCBI's taxonomy places the organism in Eukaryota, Metazoa, Chordata, Mammalia, Primates, Hominidae. The record is from RefSeq and is marked validated.